CGCACCUGGGCGCGCUUUGCAGCCCCCUCAGCUCGGGUCAUAGCGCCGGGUGGCGGCCGCUCGGCCACGAGCUGCCCCUUGGCCGGGCCUCGGGAUGCCUUCGCCAGGCUCUGGGAGCCACUUCGGACUUGGAGGCUCCAGGCUUGGAGAAGGCCACGGCUCGGCUGCGAUGGGGAGCGAAGUCUCUGGCCGGGAAUGGUACCUGGGGGGCAGCUCCGCAGAGCCCCGCGCCCACUGAGGGAACGUGCUCGGGCCCCUCUGAGGCUUCCACAGCUAAGAGGAGCCACCAGUGUUGUGACAAACAGAAAAUGGAGUUGUUGUCUGAAUUCCGUUAUCUUCUCAAGAAGAUACACUUACUUAGAAAUAGUGACUCAAAGGGCAGCUGGAAAAGCAGGCAAGCAAUUCUGGCUUGAAGGAGUUCAGUCUAGCUAACUGAGUGGGAAGAAUAACACUGAAGGAGGAAUUUUUUUCCUGAGGAGAACUGGUGAAUGUGCAAGGUUAUGUUAUCAUUCAACCAGACGACGGAUCUGACUUGAAAAGUGUCACAUUGCUAUAAACGGGCAUCUUCACAAGCAAUAAAAUUCCAUCCAUACAAAAGAAAUUAGUAUGUGCAAUACCUUUAGUUCUCUCUCCAGCACAUGUACAUAUUUGAAAAAAAUACAGUAAAUUAUUGUAUUAUUGAAUGCAUCCAGAUCUCUUCUAAGCUGCAAAGUAUACUUUAUUCUGACUUUUAUUACUUAGAGAGUUUCAUUAAUUUUGCAAAUUACACCGUUCCUCUGUUUCAUUCAUGUGACUUUAAUAGCCCCAUCUGCUGGCUGAGCACCAGGUACGAGAGUUAGCACGUACCUUUGAAGGUCUCUUGUUGUAACAGGGCUUCCAUAAACUUGCUGCUGAAAUGUUUUGCUUUUUUCCUAAGUGAGACAAAAGAGAGAAAAUUGUAAAAGUGCAUUUUAUAGAUGCAUAUUAUCUCACAAUGCUGUGGAGUUCAUUUUGUGUUUACAAAGUUAUUUCUGCCAGUGUCAGUCUGCUUUGUUAAUGGUAAAGAUGCACUUUUGUUGUUGUAGGAACUUAAUUUCCUAAAACACUUUAAAGUUUGCUGAAGUGAAAAAGUGUGAAAGUGUAGAAACUGGAAGAAAACAGAAGAUUAAAUGUCAAUGCUUACUGGAAAAGGAAUUAAGCAAAGAUUUGCUUUCAGAUGCAGUACAUCGGUAGCACUGAGUGUUGUUGUUCUCAAGAGUUUGUCUUAUUGCUACUCUUCCCUAGGCAUCCAUUGGUGUGGAAGGUAGGAUACAGAGACUCUUGCUGUGACUCAGUAGGCUCAUUUUCAUGUUCUAGUGUUCUUUUAAUGGAAAUAGAUGUGAUAAAUCUCCCAGAAAUAAUGAGGGAGGCUUGAUUCAUCCCCUCAUUCUUUAAAUGGAACUACACUGCGCUGCUUCUUGAGGGAAAGCUUUUGAUGUUAUGUGUACUGCCAUGGUACUGUUCAUUCUCUAUGGAUGUAAAUAAAGUAGCUUAUAAGGUAGCUAAGGAGUAUGAGCGGACGUGUCUUGUGCACCAUUGAAACUGAAGACAAGUUUGAUAUUGCAUCUGCAGAUUGUCCAAAAUAAGUAUAAUUAUUAUAAACGUGUGGUUUAUCUAUGUAUUAAUACAGCAAAAUGCCAUUAAUAAGUUUCAGUGCUAUUUAAAGAAAUAUAUAUAAAUAUAUUCUCUACAAAACCUGUCAAAUGGUGUGGGAAAGGAAAAGGAAAAUCCUGAAAAACCAGUGUUGGGAGAGGAUGUAUAUUGGAGGGAUGUUCCAGACAUUGAUUGUGGUCACUAAGAAGAAACAAAAACUUGAGGAAGGAAAAAGUGCUAAUGAAUAUACCUGUACAUUCACCUGUACAGUGAAUAAGAGCCUAAACUGCAUUAUAAUUUCUGAUGCUGUCCAUUGGAAUAAAGAUCAUAUUAAUUCUUUGCAGUGUGCAGCAAAGAAAACUUUGCUGAAUAAGAGCAAUCUACCUUUUUUCCAAAGUUUAAUCCAGUGACUGAAGAUGGAGAGAAUGAUUUAACAGAGCUUACACAAGCACUAACAGAAAAUAUAAGUUACCAUAGCCAUCCUAUUAAUCUGUGGUUUCUGGUCUGAUAAGACACUUGAGUGUUUUUUAGGGCAGUGAAGCCUACAAAAGGAAGACAAGUCAAAAUCACUUAUGAUAUGAUGGUCUCACCAAUAUAGCAAUCCACAUUUUCUUAUGAUUGUUAAGAUGUUCAGUCAGUCUUGGCAAGGAAAUCCCAGUGAAACUAUUUACUCUAUUAGUAAAUUAAUGCUUACAAAGCCUUGUGAACUCAGAUUGGUAAGUAAAAGUUAUCUUUGCUUGUAGCGUGGUGUAAAGAUACAGAGGGAAUGAGUAUCAAAAAGAAAUAAAA
Molecule: long non-coding RNA, 2400 nt
Organism: Chiroxiphia lanceolata (lance-tailed manakin)
Lineage: Eukaryota; Metazoa; Chordata; Aves; Passeriformes; Pipridae
Exons: 5
Source: RefSeq, a predicted model, not a curated record